GCCUGGCUAGCUCAGUGGGUAGAGCAUGGAACUCUUAAUCCCAGGGUCAUGAGUUUGAGCCCCACAUUGGGCA
Molecule: transfer RNA, 73 nt
Organism: Neotoma lepida (desert woodrat)
Lineage: Eukaryota; Metazoa; Chordata; Mammalia; Rodentia; Cricetidae
Rfam family: tRNA
About the family: Transfer RNA (tRNA) molecules are approximately 80 nucleotides in length. Their secondary structure includes four short double-helical elements and three loops (D, anti-codon, and T loops).
Source: Rfam